CGCGGGUGGGAGGCGAUAGUCGUCUCGCCCGGCUCAUACCCGGGAGCAAGGUCGGUGCAAGUCCGACACCCGCUACCA
Molecule: transfer RNA, 78 nt
Filed under: Blastochloris tepida
Lineage: Bacteria; Pseudomonadati; Pseudomonadota; Alphaproteobacteria; Hyphomicrobiales; Blastochloridaceae
Description: Blastochloris sp. GI tRNA-Met
Source: RNAcentral